GUUACAUCGACGCCUUUUUAAACACUAGAUGUCGCUGGUGACAAAGUCUAAUGUGGCAUCUAUGGCUGAUGGCUUUGAGCCUUUUUAGUCAUUUACAUGUAAAAUUCAUAAUUAAAUGUCAUCGUUGAACACUUUCUCAAAUUGCUGAAGGCUUUUUGGGGGAUAUUUUUAGAUGUUUCAUCAACCAAAACAUCACUAAAAAUACAGACCUGUAUUUUUUACCUUUUUUUCUUUUUCUUUUUUUGAUUGUGGACCAAAGCUCUUAAACAAAUUUUUUAUUUUUGUUUUAAUGUGGAGACCCAGUGAAGAGGUUGGAAACAGUUUCAAUUUUGUUUAUUUUUUCCAGAGUGAUGAAACUGCUUCUCAUUUCACUCCAUUCCUUGUUUCAUUUAUUUCGAUUUGCACUUAAGUGAAAAUGGGCAGUUGCACACUUUGCAGCGUUUGGGGACGAGGGGGGAUGGCGGCGUGCAAACUUGUCUUAAUCGUGGCUCUGCUUCAGCGCUUCAUCCAUCAACCUGUAGAUUUCCAAACCUUUUUUGCUUUUAUUUUUUUUUUUUUUUUAUCUUGACAGUGAAAAUUUGACCAGAAGCAUUUCAUAACACCUGUCCUCUCUUCCAUUUCCCCUCCCCUCCUCUUUUUUUUGUUUGUUUUUUGUUUGAUUUUUUGCCUUGCAGUUGCAAAGUCUUAGUUUUUCACGAGUAUAAAUUAAAACACUACUAUCAAAAUGAAUAGUAGGCUCUUAAAUGUCUUCGAUGUUCUGCUGCAGCUUUUUAAUUUCAACUUGUCAGAGAUAUCUCUUAGUUUGAUUUGACACUAAAUGUGAUGCAAAAAGUGGAAAUUCCUUGUCUUCCAAAAAAAACAACAAAAAAACAAAAGAAGAAGGAAAAAAAAACUGCUUGCAUCCUUCUGGGAUCAAGUACGACGAACAACCCCAUCUUUGGAAGUUUUAGUUUGGUACCCAGUUUGCACAUGCUAUGGUAUAUCUGUUACCGUAAGGUUGUGUUUGAAACUGAAGCCCAACGUCUGUUCAGCGUUGAGAGAAGUGAAUUGUAUGUUAGCUAUUUGGUCCAGAGUGAAGGACCUGCGUCAGGCUUGUGAUAUGAAGUGUAAAUCUGUUUUUUUUUUUUUUGGUUUUUUUUUUUUUAUUUCCUCGUUUUUUUCUUUUAUUAAUGUUUAUUUUUUUUGUUGUUGUUGAGGGUUUUUAUUUUUUUUUUUUUUUUUAAAGAUCAGUUAGUGAUCUUAGUACUAUAACUAAGCCAAGUUUGUAAUUGUAUAUUUACUGUAAAAUGUAGAACAUUGAAUAACUAUUAAAAUUUUCCUAUAAAAGGAAG
Molecule: long non-coding RNA, 1331 nt
Organism: Oreochromis aureus
Lineage: Eukaryota; Metazoa; Chordata; Actinopteri; Cichliformes; Cichlidae
Source: Ensembl